This 355-nucleotide unclassified non-coding RNA is filed under the name soil metagenome. Its description in RNAcentral is "partial contains 5.8S ribosomal RNA, internal transcribed spacer 2, and large subunit ribosomal RNA". The stretch from base 1 to 120 matches the Rfam family "5.8S ribosomal RNA", at positions 35 to 154 of the family's 154-position model. The record is from RNAcentral.
GAUUAAGAACGCAGCGAAAUGCGAUAAGUAGUGUGAAUUGCAGAAUCCGUGAGUCAUCGAAUCUUUGAACGCACAUUGCGCCCCUUGGUUAUUCCGAAGGGCAUGCCUGUUCGAGCGUCAUUAUCACCCCUCAAGCCCUGGCUUGGUGUUGGACUUUAGUUAUAGCUUUGCCUAUCAACUGGUCUCAAAGAUAGUGACGGCGCCCCAGAGGGAACCGGGUACGAGGAGCUUUUUACUAAGCAUGUAUCUGGGACGACUCUGAUGGGCGACGGUCUUGUUAUACUUUUUACCUAAGUGUUGACCUCGGAUCAGGUAGGAAUACCCGCUGAACUUAAGCAUAUCAAUAAGCGGAGGA